This 253-nucleotide ribosomal RNA is filed under the name uncultured bacterium. RNAcentral's name for it is "partial 16S ribosomal RNA". It matches the Rfam family "Bacterial small subunit ribosomal RNA", at positions 524 to 776 of the family's 1533-position model. The record is from RNAcentral.
UACGAGGGGGGCUAGUGUUGUUCGGAAUUACUGGGCGUAAAGCGCGUGUAGGCGGCUCUGUAAGUCGGGUGUGAAAUCCCACGGCUCAACCGUGGAAGUGCACUCGAAACUACAGGGCUAGAGUCCUGGAGAGGAAGGUGGAAUGCUUGGUGUAGAGGUGAAAUUCGUAGAUAUCAAGCGGAACACCGGUGGCGAAGGCGGCCUUCUGGACAGUGACUGACGCUGAGACGCGAAAGCGUGGGUAGCAAACAGG